RNAcentral lists this ribosomal RNA (251 nucleotides) under uncultured prokaryote. Its description in RNAcentral is "partial 16S rRNA". It matches the Rfam family "Bacterial small subunit ribosomal RNA", at positions 525 to 775 of the family's 1533-position model. The record is from RNAcentral.
ACGGAGGAUCCAAGCGUUAUCCGGAUUUAUUGGGUUUAAAGGGCGCGUAGGCGGGUUUUUAAGUCAGUGGUGAAAGUUUUCGGCUCAACCGAAAAAUUGCCAUUGAAACUGAAGAACUUGAGUGUAAAUGAGGUAGGCGGAAUGUGUUGUGUAGCGGUGAAAUGCUUAGAUAUAACACAGAACACCGAUUGCGAAGGCAGCUUACUGGGAUACAACUGACGCUGAGGCGCGAAAGCGUGGGGAUCAAACAG